UACGGGGGGGGCAAGCGUUGUUCGGAAUUACUGGGCGUAAAGGGCUCGUAGGCGGCCAACUAAGUCAGACGUGAAAUCCCUCGGCUUAACCGGGGAACUGCGUCUGAUACUGGAUGGCUUGAGUGUGGGAGAGGGAUGCGGAAUUCCAGGUGUAGCGGUGAAAUGCGUAGAUAUCUGGAGGAACACCGAUGGCGAAGGCAGCCCCCUGGGUUAACACUGACGCUCAUGCACGAAAGCGUGGGGAGCAAACAGG
Molecule: ribosomal RNA, 253 nt
Filed under: uncultured bacterium
Lineage: Bacteria
Description: partial 16S ribosomal RNA
Rfam family: Bacterial small subunit ribosomal RNA
Source: RNAcentral